Molecule: transfer RNA, 73 nt
Filed under: Gymnochlora stellata
Lineage: Eukaryota; Cercozoa; Chlorarachniophyceae
Also listed under: 1 other name
Description: tRNA-Phe
Rfam family: tRNA
About the family: Transfer RNA (tRNA) molecules are approximately 80 nucleotides in length. Their secondary structure includes four short double-helical elements and three loops (D, anti-codon, and T loops).
Source: RNAcentral
GCUAGGAUAGCUCAGUUGGUAGAGCGGAGGACUGAAAAUCCUUGUGUCGUCAGUUCAAAUCUGACUCUUGGCA